GCCGAGGUGGUGGAAUAGGCAGACACGCGGUCUUGAGGGGGCCGUGCCGCAAGGCGUAGGAGUUCAAAUCUCCUCCUCGGCACCA
RNAcentral lists this transfer RNA (85 nucleotides) under Pseudomonadota bacterium. RNAcentral's name for it is "tRNA-Leu". Lineage: Bacteria; Pseudomonadati; Pseudomonadota. RNAcentral also lists the same sequence under 3 other names. The record is from RNAcentral.